CGGUUAGUUCAGUUGGUUAGAACGUUUGAUUUACAUUCAAAAGGUCACAGGUUCGAGUCCUGUACCGC
This 68-nucleotide transfer RNA is filed under the name marine eukaryotic metagenome. It matches the Rfam family "tRNA". Rfam says of the family: Transfer RNA (tRNA) molecules are approximately 80 nucleotides in length. Their secondary structure includes four short double-helical elements and three loops (D, anti-codon, and T loops). The record is from RNAcentral.